RNAcentral lists this ribosomal RNA (924 nucleotides) under uncultured bacterium. RNAcentral's name for it is "bacterial SSU rRNA". It matches the Rfam family "Bacterial small subunit ribosomal RNA", at positions 33 to 946 of the family's 1533-position model. The record is from RNAcentral.
ACGCUAGCUACAGGCUUAACACAUGCAAGUCGAGGGGAAACGACAUUGAAAGCUUGCUUUUAAUGGGCGUCGACCGGCGCACGGGUGCGUAACGCGUAUCGAACCUGCCCUUUACUCAGGGAUAGCCUUGCGAAAGUAAGAUUAAUACCUGAUAGUGUUGCGAUGAGGCAUCUUGUUGCAACUAAAGAUUUAUUGGUAAAGGAUGGCGAUGCGUCUGAUUAGGUAGUAGGCGGGGUAAUGGCCCACCUAGCCGACGAUCAGUAGGGGUUCUGAGAGGAAGGUCCCCCACAUUGGAACUGAGACACGGUCCAAACUCCUACGGGAGGCAGCAGUGAGGAAUAUUGGUCAAUGGACGAGAGUCUGAACCAGCCAAGUAGCGUGCAGGACGACGGCCCUCUGGGUUGUAAACUGCUUUUAGUUGGGAACAUAAAAGGCGACGUGUCGCCUCUGGAGUGUACCAUCAGAAAAAGGACCGGCUAAUUCCGUGCCAGCAGCCGCGGUAAUACGGAAGGUCCAGGCGUUAUCCGGAUUUAUUGGGUUUAAAGGGAGCGUAGGCGGACGAUUAAGUCAGCUGUGAAAGUUUGCGGCUCAACCGUAAAAUUGCAGUUGAAACUGGUUGUCUUGAGUGCACGCAGGGAUGUUGGAAUUCAUGGUGUAGCGGUGAAAUGCUUAGAUAUCAUGAAGAACUCCGAUCGCGAAGGCAUAUGUCCGGAGUGCAACUGACGCUGAGGCUCGAAAGUGCGGGUAUCGAACAGGAUUAGAUACCCUGGUAGUCCGCACAGUAAACGAUGAAUACUCGCAGUAUGCGAUAUAAUGUAUGCUGCCAAGUGAAAACGUUAAGUAUUCCACCCUGGGGAGUACGCCGGCAACGGUGAAACUCAAAGGAAUUGACGGGGGCCCGCACAAGCGGAGGAACAUGUGGUU